Molecule: ribosomal RNA, 1044 nt
Filed under: Detonula confervacea
Lineage: Eukaryota; Bacillariophyta; Thalassiosirophyceae; Thalassiosirales; Thalassiosiraceae
Description: partial Bacterial large subunit ribosomal RNA
Rfam family: Bacterial large subunit ribosomal RNA
Source: RNAcentral
GCACAUGGUGGAUGCCUUGGCAGUCAGAGGCGAUGAAAGACGUGACAGCCUGCGAUAAGCUUCGGGGAGGCGGCAAUAUCCUGUGAUCCGGAGAUUUCUGAAUGGGGAAACCCAACUAGCAUAAGCUAGUUAUCCUAAUUUAUUAGGAAGCGAACGAGGGGAAGUGAAACAUCUCAGUACCCUUAGGAAUAGACAUCAAUUGAGAUUCCCCUAGUAGCGGCGAGCGAACGGGGAGAAGCCGAUUAGUACUAAUGUAGAAGAACAGCGUGGGAAAGCUGACCGUAGUAGGUGAUAGUCCUGUAUUCGAAACAUUAGCAUUAACAUAUUAAGUAGAGCGGGGCACGAGAAAUCCUGUUUGAAGAUGGGGGGACCAUCCUCCAAGGCUAAAUACUCCUGACUGACCGAUAGUGAACCAGUACCGUGAGGGAAAGGCGAAAAGAACCCCUGUGAGGGGAGUGAAAUAGAACCUGAAACCGUGUGCGUACAAGCAGUGGGAGCCUACUUGUUAGGUGACCGCGUACCUUUUGUAUAAUGGGUCAGCGACUUAUGUUCUGUAGCAAGGUUAACCGUUUAGGGGAGCCGUAGGGAAACCGAGUCUUAAUAGGGCGAUUAGUUGCAGGGCAUAGACCCGAAACCGAGUGAUCUAUCCAUGAGCAGGUUGAAAGUGCCGUAACAGGCACCGGAGGACCGAACCCACUGUCGUUGAAAAGCCAGGGGAUGACUUGUGGAUAGGGGUGAAAGGCUAAUCAAACUCGGUGAUAGCUGGUUCUCCCCGAAAGCUAUUUAGGUAGCGCCUCGGACGAACACCAUUGGGGGUAGAGCACUGUUUCGGCUAGGGGGUCAUACCGACUUACCAAACCGAUGCAAACUCCGAAUACCGAUGAGUGAUAUCCGGGAGACACACGGUGGGUGCUAACGUCCAUCGUGGAGAGGGAAACAACCCAGACCGCCAGCUAAGGCCCCAAAUUCCUAGUUAAGUGGGAAACGAGGUGGGAAGGCAUAGACAGCUAGGAGGUUGGCUUAGAAGCAGCCACCCUUGAAAGA